RNAcentral lists this long non-coding RNA (10339 nucleotides) under Brassica napus (rape). RNAcentral's name for it is "long non-coding RNA (BNAP_LNC011764)". The record is from RNAcentral. Lineage: Eukaryota; Viridiplantae; Streptophyta; Magnoliopsida; Brassicales; Brassicaceae.
CCUUAGCCUCGUUGUUCUGCAUCUCUGUACUCGAAUCACCUUUCUCUCUUGAUCCAACGUUUCGAUCCAAGCUUUAAAGGUAUAAAAAUCUCACUUUUCUCUCUUGAUCUUCGUUUAGGCUAUAUGAUUCAUCAUGGGUACAGAUCUAGGGUCUCUGAUUUAACACUAGUGUCUGCGUUCUCGUUUGGUCUCGAGUUCGGUUCCUUUGUGAAUGAUAGAAACAGAGGAUGGGUUGUGUAAGAUAAAAAAUUAUUUGAAUUUUGUAUUUGGAACUUAUAUAAUUGUGAAGUUUUGUUUGGUAGAAGAUGUGUUUAGGUUGCUUGUACGAGCCUAAGAUGUGCUUUGUUUUUACCGCCUUUCUCUUGUUUAAUCAAUAGCUUAUAUUAUACUAGGGUCGGACCCGCCCUACGGACGGAUAUGCAAAUGAACGAAACAAUAUAAAUAUAUUUUAAAUUUUAAUAAAUUUUCAGUUUAUUUUAAAUUAUAAUUUUCACUAUUUUUUACUACAUACUUUACUAUUUCUUCUUUUUUUAUAAAUUAUAUAUUUCUUACUAUAAUAAAAAAUGUAUAAAGAAAUAUAAGUAAACUAUAUCUCUUUUUCCAAAAUAAAUUUCAUAAGGAAGCAAAUAAAAAAACUUUUAAAAGUGUUGUAUGAGUUAAAUACAGUAAAAUUUCUAUGAAUUUUUUUUUGUAACACCUCUAUGAAAAAUAUUACUAUUUACUAUAUCCCCUAUAUAUUAUUUGAGAAGCAUUACAACUUCUUUUUGUAGACACAUGUCAUCACUAGAAUGAUUCUUAGAAUCAUUAGAGAAAUAUGUUGGUCUAUUUAAUUAUAUAAUAAGCUUUUUAUUAUACUAACAAUAAAUUUUCAUCAUUAAUGUACUUUAUUAUUUUCUUAAAUAAAAUUUAUGGAAUUGCCUAAUGUGGCUAAAGUAUAUAUGGUAAUUAAUGAUUUUGAAUAAUAAAGAUUUGAUAAAAAAUAGUGUAUCUUCUAUCACAUUUGUUUAAUUUUAAGCUAUUAAAUAAAUUAAACAACCACAAUAACCAUAUAAUAAAAAUUUAGAGUUUUAUAUAUAUGUUAUAUUUUGAAAUUUUACAAACGGCUAUAAAUUACUAAAACUGUUAAAAGUCUCACAUUCAAAUUUUAUGAUCCAUGGUUUAAAAUUUUUGUUAUGAAAAAAUACAAAUGAUUACAAAAAUUAUAUAAGUAAAAAGUCUAAUUUAAUUAAUUAAUAAGAUUAAUAUAUAUAUCAUUUUAAAUUAAACUAUAAACCAUAUAAAAUACAAUAUUUUAGUUUCAAAAUUUACUUUGAACAAUUUUUUUGAUAAAAGUUUUGAACGAUCAUUGACAACUUAUUUUUUUUUAAAUUAUAAAUUACUAAAACUAUUAAUCCCACAAUGAAAAUUUUGUUAUCAGUAAUUUAAAUUUUUUUCUAUAAAAGAUACAAAUGAUCAAAAAAAUAUAUGAGUAGAAAUCAUCAUUUAAUAGACAUUAAUAUUAAAAAUAUACUAAAAUAUAUUAUCUAUGUUAGUAUCAUUUAAAUUUAAUAACAUAUCCUAUCAAAUAAAAAAAAAAUUGGAUUAAUACAAUUGAUUUAUAUGUUCGCACCAAUUUAAUUAUAUUUUUAAUAGUUACUGAUUUUUAAUUAUUUAAUAUAUAUUUAUUAUUUUAAAAUAUGUAAAAAUUAAUAUUUAAUAUAUAAAAUAAUUUAUAUAUAUAAUAUUGAUCCCGCGCAAGGCGCGGGUCUUAACCUAGUCAUUUGUUAAACUAUAAACAUAAAACAAUAUAUUGCAAUCUAAUUAUAGUUAAAAUAUAUUUAUGGAUUAAAACUCAGUGUAAAAUGAUAAUUAAGAUAUUCUCAAUAGAUAUGCACAACUUAUUUAAUUUUUAUUAUUUUAUUUUAUUUUGUUUUGAAUUUACUAUCUUUUCAAAAUACCAAUCAGGUUAUUACAUUGUUAUUAAAAAUAAAAUAUUAUAUACUUUCUAACUUAAUCUCUUACUUUUAUAUUUUGUUUACAAUAUUAAGCACUAAUGUAUUAGUUUGAGGAUUUAUGUGAAUUUUGAGUAUAUCUUCAGUCCAACAUUAUGAUCCAAAAACAUUAUCUUCCUUUUUUUAUCUCCUGUAAAAAAAAUCUACAAUCUUGUAUUAAUAUCACAAUAAAGAUAUAAAUUGUAUUUUUUAUAACAUCUAUGUUUAUGCAAUCGAGAGUACAUGAUCUUGAUAGCUUUAAAAAAAGAAAAAUAGGCAAGAAAGCGAGUACCUUCCAGCGAAAACAAUAAUCCUUUCGCGUUGAUUCUUAUUUUGGCAAUGCUUAAAAGCAAGCUGGAUCGCUGUUGUUAAAUUAAACUCUCCAACAUCGAGACCUCAUAAGACAGUAAAAUUGAUGACUCCAUCAAAACAACAACAAUUACAAAAUUGUUUUUGAGUAGAGACAUACUGUGCAUACAUGCCAGAAUCUUGCCAAGAUCAGAGGUAGGCGUAGUCAAAACUCUAACUCCUUACCUGCCAUUGUCAAGAUCCCCACAGUGUUCUCCGGAUUCGACUGCAAUCGCAAAACACAAAAAGAUCCCCUAAAUCACAGAUAAAAAGGACAAUUCAAAAGCUCUAAUGGAAUAGAGUUUACCUGGGUUUUGGCACCGCAGAGAAGAUUAAUAGCUUCGGUUUGAGCCUGUAAGAGAAUGGUACAUCAAUGAUGAUCUCUUUCAUCGCUGGUUUCUUGCGAUGAAACACUAAUCGCUAUCAAGUAGCUUCUCCUCCCCACCAACCCGAUCCAUCCUGCGAUGUACAGGAACAACAGUCCUGGUGUUAUAAACUCUCCCCAAUGCCUCUGGUCUCCGUUCACCAUCAGGUGUGGUAUCCCGUCUGCACCGCACAGUAGCCCGUACUUUCCGUAGUUGUUGAACCUAACAACAAACAUAAUCAAAGAUUAAAUUUCUUGUUUUUUGAAUGAAUAGAGAUUCAAUUUCAAUAGCAGAUGAAAAACGGAACACAAUCAUCAUCAUGAGACGAACCUGCGUUUGGUCUUUUCGAUCUGAGCGUUAAGAGCAAGAGCAGGAGCACUCUCAGGAGCGUAAUUUAUGUUUUAAGAAAGCUGAACCGGUGAAUCUUCAGUUUGGUCGAGCAAGAUGUUUGAGGCCUUAAUGUCUCAGUAUAUGAAUUUUACCCGUAUGGUCCAAAUGAGCGGCUUACACUGUACAAUAUCUGCUUCAACACCAUUCAAGCAUAAGAACAAACAAUCUCCCGAGAGUUCUAAUAAAUUCUUGAUUUAGGAACGACCUUGAAAGCCAUAAAGUUUAACACGCUUGACAGCAAAUACAAUACCAGUGCUGGAUUUAGUUGGAGCUAUAGUAGUCCCAUCGAUCCAACCUCUAUAGUCAGAACGGAAACCCCACCUUAUCCGACAACAGAGUCUGAUCUGAAGUUCCUGAUUGCAAGUUUGAGUUUGUUGAAGGUCAAGCUCUUUGCUAAGUAUCUCUCCUUCUAGCUUAUGAGCUGCCAGUGAUGAUGCUGAUUGAACACUCAAGAGGUGAAGGUUGUAGAUACCACUUCUCUUUUCUGCAGAAACACACACAAAGCGUUGACUAAAGUUAAAACUGAGGACAAAUGGAAAGUUGGAAACUUUUUUACUCAGGUUACGUGAAGAUUCUUGCAAAGUUCAUUCCUUUUCUAAAACCCCAUCAUUAAUAAACAGAUAAAAGAUCGAAUUUGAAGAGGGACACUUGAAAAAAAGAAAUCAAAUAUUCACUGGAAAAUGUACAGAAGGGAAAUUAAGGAGAUGGAGAGAAUGUACAAUCGUCAGGUAAAAUAAUGUUGUUAAUAAAAUUUUCAGGUAUAGUGGUCAUUGGUCAAGAAUAUGUGUGCUUUCAGAAGAAACAGAGGAAGCUGAAGACCACCCAUAUUCUUCUCCAAAUCACUGAAACUCAUAAGAAGAAGACAAUGCUUUUACAUCUCAAAACCUGAUCAGUUGCACCUCGACAGUGGAAGAACAUGUAGGCCAGCCUUCAAAUCAGUGAUUAGGAUAGAUGAGUUAGCCAUUAUAUUGAAAAAGUAAUCUCUAGUGCUAUUAUGGAAUGUGAGGAUGAGGUUCAAGGGAUGAAGCUUACCUUUCUAUAGGUAUAUUUCCACGGCCUUUCUCAGAUAAGAAGCAUUGAAUGUGAAAUGGUUGUUAAUGGCAAUGCAUCAAUACUUCUGGUAACGUAUUGGAGAAGAUGAAUCUUAGACUAAACUACACGAACCUAAAUUUGAUGCAGCAGCAUCCGAGUAGCUUCAACGUCAAGUUUCCUUUUAAGUUAUUUCCUUUUUACUUAGGAUUUAUGAUUUACCUUUUCUAUUAGGUUAAGGAAUUUAAUGACGGUUUAAGAGUUCUAUAUAAAGAACUCUCUUAUGGCUUUUGUAAGAUACACUUUUGAUAAUUAAUAAAACUAGCUUUGAGAUUUAUACCUUGAAAGAGAUUUGAUUCAAUUCAUCUUGUUCGAGAAGCCUUGAGAGAGAUUCGAUUAGAUUCAUCUUCUUCAAGAAGCAGGUCUCUAGAGUUUUCAAUUGAAAACCCUAGAUCGAGAUGAUAUCUUGUUCGCACCCUCCAUCUGAUUGGUAUCAGAGCAAAACACCCAUCACAUCCCACACCUAACAUCCGCCCGCUACCUUGCCCUGUGCCAAGAAGGAAACACAAGAUGAAAUUCAGCAACGAACUAUGGAGGAGAUGCAGACACAAAUUGCUCAACUUACUCAAGCAAUGGAAGGUCUGAUCGCACAAAAGAACACUGCCCCUGUCGAGGAACACGAAGAAGAGCAGUCUGAUCACGACGAUGAUGCAAACCCGUUUGCUGUCCUCGGAGGAAAUCGAAACAGAGCUCAACCCGUGCAACUCAAUGAACGAUGGGAUCGAAGUUUCAAAUUCGAGAUUCCAGAAUUUCAUGGAAACCAAGUAGCUGAAGAAUUACUCGACUAGAUCGCCACGGUUGAAGAGAUUUUAGAGUUCAAACAGGUCCCGCUCGAGCAUUGUGUGCCAGUACUAGCAAUGCGCUUUCGAAGUUGAGCAACCGCUUGGUGGACUCAGCUUAAAGCGUCCAGACUUCGUAUGGGCAAACCUAAGAUCGAGUCAUGGAAUAAGUUGAAGAAACAUAUGCGAAAGAUGUUCCUACCUUAUAACUAUGACCAGCUGAUGUUUCAACGACUACAACAUCUCCGUCAAGGAAGCCGUACGGUAGAAGAAUAUGCAACUGAAUUUUUCUUGUUAUUAAACAGAAUUGAUCUUCAUUAUUCAGACAGACAACUGGUCGCCCGUUUCAUCGGUGGUCUGCGACAACAAAUUCAGCAUACAUUAAACCUGUUUAACCCUCUUACGCUCUCAGAAGCUCAUCAACAGGCUUUAACCGUCGAAGCACAAAACAAAACGACCUCCACUCCGUGGAAUUCAAAUCGCCAACAACGCACCGCACCGGUCACAACUCCAACAACUACAAACCCAGCACCAAUCGCGGCCACACCUGCGACUGCCAUUGUUCCCGUUGAUGCGACACGACCAGCCCAUACAGGUACCUUGCGCUGUUUCGCCUGCGGGGAAGCUGGACACAGACAUGCUGCUUGUCCCCAUCGAAAUCAACGAGGCCUCUUACUUGACUCUUCAGGCCGUGAUGUUGAGAUCGAGUUUGAUGAACCUAUUCAUGACGAACCUGAGGAACUAGAACCCGAUACUGGUGUUUGUUUAAUGUUGUGCCGUUCUUGCCUAGCUCCACGCAGCAACGGCGACUUCCCACAACGCAAUAAUUUAUUUCACUCUCGUUGCACCAUCGAAGAAAAAGUGUGUAAACUAAUUAUCGACUCUGGUAGUAGUGAGAACGUUACUGCUGCGGAUGCCGUAAAGAAGCUCGCACUCAAAGAUGAACAGCAUCCGACUCCGUACAAGCUCGCCUGGUUACAACAAACUCACGACCUCCUGGUGACUCGUCGAGCUUUGGUUACCUUCUCUAUUGGUGAUUCAUAUCAUGACAAAAUUUACUGCGACAUUGCUCCGAUGGACGCGUGUCAUUUACUUCUCGGACGUCCGUGGGAGUUCGACCGAAGAAUAAUACACGACGGAUUCCUAAACACCUAUACUUUCACAUUCAACAACCGUACCUUCACCCUGAAACCUUCAGUACCAUCAUCAUCACCGCCUACAACUCCCUCACCAGCACGUCCUACAACCUCAUCUAACCCUCUGUUACUUCUACACAAGACACCGUUCGAAACGACAAUGCGCGAAGAAGUAGUUUUUAUUUUAACCGCGACGCCCUCUUCGCCACUUCUUGACAAUGAAACCCGACCAGAAUUUCAAGCUAUCAUCAAAGAAUUUGAGGACGUCUUCCCCAACGAUAUCCCUCCGGGAUUACCACCAUUGCGAGAUAUUCAACACCAAAUAGACUUUAUCCCCGAUGCCAAUCUCCCCAACCGUGCUCACUAUCGAAUAAGUCCAACAGAACAUGAGGAACUACGGAAGCAAGUUGGAGAACUGGUUACUCGAGGAUUCUUACUGGAGAGUAUGAGUCCUUGUGUCGUUCCAGCCCUAUUGGUUCCAAAGAAGGAUGGUUCAUGGCGUAUGUGUGUGGAUAGUCGUGCAGUGAAUAAAAUAACCGUGCGAUAUCGUUUCCCAAUUCCUCGCCUUGAUGACCUUCUCGAUCAAAUCGGGACAGCAAGGAUAUUUUCUAAACUGGAUUUGAAAAGCAGUUACCACCAGAUUCGUAUUCGCCAAGGAGAUGAAUGGAAAACAGCUUUCAAGACCCGUGAAGGACUUUUUGAGUGGACGGUAAUGCUGUUUGGCUUAUCGAACACACCAAGUACGUGUAUGCGAGUUAUGAAUCAGGCUCUCCGUCCUUUCAUAGGCAAAUUCGUCAUUGUUUACUUCGAGGAUAUCUUAAUCUUCAGCCUCAAUAUGGAGGAUCAUAUGACAAAUCUGCGAGAAGUCCUCCUUGUUCUUCGUCGAGAUAAACUUUUUGCAACACUGAAAAAAUGUGGGUUAAGCACACGUUCACUUCUUGGGAUACAUUUUUUCGGAGAAGGGCCUUGCCGUCGACCCUGCAAAAGUAUCCGCCAUCAAAACUUGGCCAGAACCGCAUACUAUAAGCGAAGCACAGAGCUUUCGUGGGCUUGCAUCUUUUUACAGACAUUUUGUUCCGCAGUUUAGUGCUAUCAUAGCGCCAUUAACAAACUGCAUUCGCGAGGGAGCUUUUAUAUUUACGCUGGCUGCAACUACUGCUUUCAACAUCAUCAAAGACAAACUUAGUUCAGCACCUAUCUUGGCUUUACCAGACUUUACGACGGUAUUUGAACUACACUGCGACGCGUCUAAAAGUGGGAUUAGCGCUGUCAUUAGCCAACGAAACAGGCCUAUAGCAUUCUUUAGCAAAAAGAUAUCUGGUGCGCGUUUUCAUUAUAGUACGUAUGACAUCGAGUUAUAUGCUAUUGUGCAAGCAAUCAAGCAUUGGAGGCAUUACUUGUUCCACAAGGAAUUUGUCCUUUACACUGAUCAUGACGCCCUCAAGCAUCUUAGCACUCAAGAUAAAGUUUCUGCGCGACAUGCCUCUUGGAUAGUCUAUCUACAACAGUUUACAUUCGUGAUCAAGCACACUUCGGGAACCAGCAACCCCGUAGCUGACUCCUUGAGUCGACGACACUCUCUCCUCUCCGUGCUUCAUGUCUCGGUACCUGGCUUUAGAUCGUUUGUGGACUUAUACCCGACAGACACGUUUUUUGUUCCAAUUUGGACUGCCGUUUCUGCUGGUCCAUCCUUACCGUACUCGAUCCAUGAUGGUUUCUUAUUCCGGGAUAACCGUCUUUGUGUUCCUGAUUGUAGUCUUCGUUUGCAACUUAUUUCCGAGCUUCAUAAUGAAGGUCACAUCGGCCGAGAUUGAACCAUGCACCUUGUUUCUACGUCUUAAUUCUGGCCAGCAAUACGAUGGGACGUGGAACGCUUUGUGGAGCGUUGUGUUAUUUGUCAAACGUCCAAGGGUCAAGCUUCCAAUGCUGGUUUGUACCUUCCUUUACCAAUACCAACUCAGCCAUGGACAGAUAUAAGUAUGGAUUUUGUCAUGGGAUUGCCACGGACUCAAAAAGGGUUCGAUUCAAUUUUCGUCAUGGUAGAUUGGUUUUCUAAAAUGGUUCACUUUAUACCCUGCAAACGUACAACUGAUGCAGCUGAAGUGGCCACUUAAUUCUUCCGAGAGGUGUACCGGCUUUAUGGCUUACCAUUGUCGAUUGUCUUCGACAGAGAUUCUCGCUUUCUUAGUCACUAUUGGCGCUCGUUAUGGAAACUCUUCGAUACAAGUCUUGAUAUGAGUUCUGCGUAUCAUCCUCAAACUGACGGCCAAACAGAGGUCACGAAUCGUUCUCUCGGUAACUUGCUACGCAGCUUGGUCGGAUCAUCCAUUAAGUCGUGGGAUUCUAAGCUUCCCCAGGAUGAUUUUGCCCAUAACCAUGCCAUUAACCGAAGCUCGAAGUUCAGUCCGUUUCAGAUCAUUUAUGGAGUCGUUCCUCGUGCUCCACUCGACCUCUCAACUUUGCCCGAUCGUGUUCGUCUUCACGGUGGAGCUGAAGCAUUCAUGGAGAAAGUGCUCGAGACACACAAGCAAACAACGUCCAACUUGGAGACAAUAUAAAGCUGCGGCAGACACCCAUAGACGACGUCUCAUAUUUGAGGUUGGUGAUCUUGUCUGGGCAGUUCUUACUCGAGAUCGUAUGCCUGCACACUCGUAUAACAAAUUAAAAGCAAAGAAGAUUGGUCCUUUGGAGGUUCUUGAGCGUAUCAGUGACAAUGCUUAUCGUCUCCAGCUGAUAUAACUACUUCUGAUGUUUUUAAUGUCAAGUACCUCUCUCGCUAUUUUUCUCCCGAGCAGCCAUCUGAUUCGCGGUCGAAUCCUCUUCACCCCGGGGGACCUGAUGCAGCAGCAUCCGAGUAGCUUCAACGUCAAGUUUCCUUUUUAUUUAUUUCCUUUUUACUUAGGGUUUAUGUUUUACCUUUUCUAUAGGUUAAGGAUUUUAAUGACGGUUUAAGAGUUCUAUAUAAAGAACUCUCUUAUGGCUUUUGUAGAUACGCUUUUGAUAAUUAAUAAACUAGCUUUGAGGUUAAGGAUUUUAAUGACGGUUUAAGAGUUCUAUAUAAAGAACUCUCUUAUGGCUUUUGUAGAUACGCUUUUGAUAAUUAAUAAACUAGCUUUGAGCUUUAUAUCUUGAAAGAGAUUUGAUUCAAUUCAUCUUGUUCGAGAAGCCUUGAGAGAGAUUCGAUUAAAUUCAUCUUCUUCAAAAAGCAGGUCUCUAGAGUUUUCAAUCGAAAACCCUAGAUCGAGCUGAUAUCUUGUUCUUACCCUCCAUCAAAAUUGAAGCAUCGAUUACUCAGUAAGUUUCAUCUCACUAAAACUUUCAAAACCGUCAUCGUUGGUUGACAUAAUCAGAGAUUGCAGUAGAGGAUGAACCCUAGAAACCAAUGAUCGACGCUCGUGAAGAAGAGAAGGUGAGAAGAGGAUAGGAGAGUGAAAUGAGAUACCCUCUUGUUGAUUUUUAGCCCAAAUAAUGUAAAUCACAGCCCAUCCGUAAAAAAAAUCCAAGCCCACUCGUAAAAUCAAUACAAAAAACAAACGAACGAAAUGUGGACUUCCACGAAAUGUACGUCUAUCUAAAUAAAGCCCAAAUCACCCCGAAACAAAAAACUUAAUGAAAUGAACAUUUUAAAUCAGAGGACACGUGUCAUGUUUAUAGAAGCCGACUUUAUGACGUGUCCGCCUACGUGGCUUCACCAGGAGAGAUCAAACCCUCUUUUAUAAUAAUAGAUAGAUAGAUAGCUUAGAGUCUGAGAUUUUUUUUUUUAUCUCUGUUCCAUUCUAGUUCAUGUGAUCUUACAAGAUUCAAUCCUUGUAAUUGUUUGAUGCUUUUCUUUUUCUUCCAAACUUGUUGGCAUGAUCAUGCUUAUACUUUCCAAUUUAAUAGUUUCUUCUUAGGGGACAGUUCUGCAUGUACAGCUAGUUCUAUAUUUUUAUGUUUGGAACAAUGGUACAUGGUGAAUUGAUUUUGUCUUAGAUCAUUUUAUAAUGUGUUUGACGAAAUAUGUAACAGUUUGUUAUGUUUUGAUUAUAUACAGGUUCUUUCAAGACCUUGUGCAAGAUGGAUGAAGGCAUUGUUUAAGACUUUACAUUUUAGUUAUGUUUUGUGGAUUUUCUAUUCUAGUCGAAACAACCAAAGUUUUUGUUGGAAGCGUGAGCUUCCUUUCCAAAACCACUUUGAUUGUUGUCUUUCUAGUAUUCUAUUUGUGUAAAUUUAUGAGAAUGUGUAUGGAAUGCAGUUUCAUUUACAUAGGUAACAUGUUGGUC